GAUGAACGCUGGCGGCGUGCUUAACACAUGCAAGUCGAACGGAAAGGCUCCUGCUUGCAGGGGUACUCGAGUGGCGAACGGGUGAGUAACACGUGGGUGAUCUGCCCUGCACUUCGGGAUAAGCCUGGGAAACUGGGUCUAAUACCGGAUAGGACGAUGGUUUGGAUGCCAUUGUGGAAAGUUUUCCGGUGUGGGAUGAGCUGGCGGCCUAUCAGCUUGUUGGUGGGGUAAUGGCCUACCAAGGCGACGACGGGUAGCCGGCCUGAGAGGGUGUACGGCCACUUAGGACAGAGGAACUGGACGGCACCGAACGGGGAGGCAGGGGUGGAGAUUUUAACCAAGACGGGGCAAGCCUGCUGGAGGCGCCCCGGCUGGGGAAAGACGCCCUUCCGGUUGCAACCUCGUUUUCCUGGGAUUGGCCCAGAGGGCCCGGCCCCUGGAAAAAGGCCACCGAUAAACUGGGC
RNAcentral lists this ribosomal RNA (464 nucleotides) under uncultured bacterium. RNAcentral's name for it is "partial 16S ribosomal RNA". It matches the Rfam family "Bacterial small subunit ribosomal RNA", at positions 28 to 506 of the family's 1533-position model. The record is from RNAcentral.